GUGCCAGCCGCCGCGGUAAUACGAAGGUCCCGAGCGUUGUUCGGAAUCACUGGGCGUAAAGGGAGCGUAGGCGGCGCGGUAAGUCAGAUGUGAAAUCCCGGGGCUCAACCCCGGAACUGCAUCCGAUACUGCCGUGCUAGAGGAUUGGAGAGGUAGCUGGAAUUCUUGGUGUAGCAGUGAAAUGCGUGGAGAUCAAGAGGAACACUCGUGGCGAAAGCGAGCUACUGGACAAUAUCUGACGCUGAGCUCGAAGGCCAGGGUAGCGAAAGGGAUUAGAUACCCCUGUAGUCCUGGCAGUAAACGGUGUGCGCUU
This 313-nucleotide ribosomal RNA is filed under the name uncultured Verrucomicrobiaceae bacterium. RNAcentral describes it as "bacterial SSU rRNA". It matches the Rfam family "Bacterial small subunit ribosomal RNA", at positions 505 to 818 of the family's 1533-position model. The record is from RNAcentral. Lineage: Bacteria; Pseudomonadati; Verrucomicrobiota; Verrucomicrobiia; Verrucomicrobiales; Verrucomicrobiaceae.